RNAcentral lists this transfer RNA (72 nucleotides) under Balanoglossus clavigerus. RNAcentral describes it as "transfer RNA-Pro". It matches the Rfam family "tRNA". Rfam says of the family: Transfer RNA (tRNA) molecules are approximately 80 nucleotides in length. Their secondary structure includes four short double-helical elements and three loops (D, anti-codon, and T loops). The record is from RNAcentral. Lineage: Eukaryota; Metazoa; Hemichordata; Enteropneusta; Ptychoderidae.
CAGAAGGUAGUUUAGUGGCUAGAAUUCCCGCUUUGGGGGCGGGUAGCAUGGGUUCGAGUCCCUUUUUUCUGA